AAUAUUGCACAAUGGAGGGAACUCUGAUGCAGCAACGCCGCGUGAGUGAAGAAGGUUUUCGGAUCGUAAAACUCUGUCAUUGGGGAAGAAUAAAUGACGGUACCCAAUGAGGAAGCCCCGGCUGACUUCGUGCCAGUAGCCGCGGUAAUACGGACGGGGCGAGCGGUGUCCGGAAUUUUUGGGCGUAAAGGGUUCGGAGGCGGCUUCUUAAGUCAGGUGUGAAAGACCACAGCUUAACUGGGGGGUUGCAUUUGAAACUGUGUAGCUUGAGUGCAGGAGAGGAAAGUGGAAUUCCUAGUGUAGCGGUGAAAUGCGUAGAGAUUAGGAGGAACACCAGUGGCGAAGGCGACUUUCUGGACUGUAACUGACGCUGAGGUACGAAAGCGUGGGUAGCGAACA
This 399-nucleotide ribosomal RNA is filed under the name uncultured bacterium. RNAcentral describes it as "partial 16S ribosomal RNA". It matches the Rfam family "Bacterial small subunit ribosomal RNA", at positions 360 to 774 of the family's 1533-position model. The record is from RNAcentral.